GCCGAAGUGGUGAAAUUGGUAGACACGCUACCUUGAGGGGGUAGUGGGCUUACGCCCGUGGAGGUUCGAGUCCUCUCUUCGGCACCA
RNAcentral lists this transfer RNA (87 nucleotides) under Pseudomonadales bacterium. Its description in RNAcentral is "tRNA-Leu". It matches the Rfam family "tRNA". Rfam says of the family: Transfer RNA (tRNA) molecules are approximately 80 nucleotides in length. Their secondary structure includes four short double-helical elements and three loops (D, anti-codon, and T loops). Further hydrogen bonds mediate the characteristic L-shaped molecular structure. tRNAs have two regions of fundamental functional importance: the anti-codon, which is responsible for specific mRNA codon recognition, and the 3' end, to which the tRNAs corresponding amino acid is attached (by aminoacyl-tRNA synthetases). tRNAs cope with the degeneracy of the genetic code in two manners: having more than one tRNA (with a specific anti-codon) for a particular amino acid; and 'wobble' base-pairing, i.e. permitting non-standard base-pairing at the 3rd anti-codon position. RNAcentral also lists the same sequence under 4 other names. Lineage: Bacteria; Pseudomonadati; Pseudomonadota; Gammaproteobacteria; Pseudomonadales. The record is from RNAcentral.